UGGUUCACAAGUUUUGAUUUUUCCUUUACACGUUAUUGAUUUUUCCUUCGUUUGCCUCUACUUAAGUCAUAACCGAUGUCAUGCUCCUUCAGGAUCUUGCUGAGCGGGUCUAUGGUUAAGCAGAAUAAAAGUGGCAAGAGGCUGUCUCCCUGGAAUAUUCCUCUCUGAACUUAUUUGUCUGGAAUCAUUAUUUGUCCCUCUGUGUGGUUUAGGGUGAUGGUGGUGUUCCACUUGUUCAUUUGUGCCAUCAGGAAAGAUCUUAUUUCCUCAUUGAUGUUGUCGAGUUCUAAGCAUCUCAUAAUCCAGGAGUGUGGCACACUCUCGAAUGCCUUUUUGUAAUCAAUCCAAGCCAUGCUGAGGUUUCUCCUCCUUUUUUGCAGUCCACCAUGAUUGUUUUGUUUAUCAGUGACUGGCACUUAUCUCCUACUAAUCUUUUUCAAAAACAACCUUUCUGUUCAUUUUCCAGGUAGCUACCAGUGUCAAGAUGUUCAUAAAUGGCAUCUGCUAUGAUUCAUCGACCAUGUGUACAUUGCUGUUAGGCAACAGAUUGGUCUGCACUUGUUGGGUAGCUGUGUUUCUUUGGUCUUUGGGAGUAGGCUUGUGUUUCCAGUCAUGAGCCAGUCUGGUGUGUCCUCUUCUCCGUUCAAUAUUUUUGUGAAAGCCAUGGUAUAAUGGUGGUGCAAUGUGGUCAGCCUUUUCA
Molecule: long non-coding RNA, 700 nt
Organism: Thalassophryne amazonica
Lineage: Eukaryota; Metazoa; Chordata; Actinopteri; Batrachoidiformes; Batrachoididae
Exons: 3
Source: RefSeq, a predicted model, not a curated record